CCUACGGGAGGCAGCAGUAGGGAAUAUUGGACAAUGGACGCAAGUCUGAUCCAGCCAUCCCGCGUGAAGGAUUAAGGCCCUAUGGGUUGUAAACUUCUUUUCUUUGGGAAUAAAAAGCGGUAUUCAUAUCGCCUUGAAGGUACCAGAGGAAUAAGCACCGGCUAACUCCGUGCCAGCAGCCGCGGUAAUACGGAGGGUGCAAGCGUUAUCCGGAUUCACUGGGUUUAAAGGGUGCGUAGGUGGCUUUGUAAGUCAGCGGUGAAAGCCUGGAGCUCAACUCCAGAAUUGCCAUUGAUACUGCAGAGCUUGAAUCAAGUUGAGGUGGAUGGAAUAUUACAUGUAGCGGUGAAAUGCUUAGAUAUGUAAUAGAACACCGAUUGCGAAGGCAGUUCACUAAGCUUGUAUUGACACUGAGGCACGAAAGCGUGGGGAUCAAACAGGAUUAGAUACCCUGGUAGUCCACGCCCUAAACGAUGCAAACUCGACAUUAGCGAUAUACAGUUAGUGUCCAAGCGAAAGCGUUAAGUUUGCCACCUGGAGUACGACCGCGAGUAGUAACGACGAAGAGUAGUAGACGNGNGAGAGACGACGACGACGACGAGGAGGGAGGAGG
This 613-nucleotide ribosomal RNA is filed under the name uncultured bacterium. RNAcentral describes it as "bacterial SSU rRNA". The stretch from base 1 to 535 matches the Rfam family "Bacterial small subunit ribosomal RNA", at positions 338 to 873 of the family's 1533-position model. The record is from RNAcentral.